RNAcentral lists this unclassified non-coding RNA (253 nucleotides) under uncultured bacterium. RNAcentral describes it as "contains 16S-23S intergenic spacer region". It matches the Rfam family "Bacterial small subunit ribosomal RNA", at positions 524 to 776 of the family's 1533-position model. The record is from RNAcentral.
UACAGAGGGUGCGAGCGUUAAUCGGAAUUACUGGGCGUAAAGCGUGCGUAGGCGGCUUUCUAAGUCGGAUGUGAAAUCACCGAGCUUAACUUGGGAAUUGCAUUCGAUACUGGGAAGCUAGAGUAUGGGAGAGGAGGGUAGAAUUCCAUGUGUAGCUGUGAAAUGCGUAGAGAUCUGGAGGAAUACCGAUGGCGAAGGCAGCCAAUUGGCCUAAUACUGACGCUGAGGUACGAAAGCAUGGGGAGCAAACAGG